Nematostella vectensis (starlet sea anemone) is the source of this 1267-nucleotide long non-coding RNA. RefSeq lists it as uncharacterized. Lineage: Eukaryota; Metazoa; Cnidaria; Anthozoa; Actiniaria; Edwardsiidae. The transcript has 3 exons. The record is from RefSeq and is a predicted model, not a curated record.
CCCCAGUAUGAUGGAGCACCACACCACAACGUUGCCAUAGUUGGGGUUAUGGAUAUAUCUCUUGAUGAAGAACGCCAUGGGCAGCUGGAACAGGCAAGAUACACAGCUCAGACCAUUAUUUUUUUCAUCGGGUUUAAUGAAAUUACGGUAUCUCAACAAACCUGGCCAAUCAUGGCUGAGAAGGACCAGAGCUUGAUCAUCCUCAAGGGCACGCUGACCAGAUACUACAACAACAGAAUCUGCAGUUAGGCUAGGAAAUGGGGAAAACCUGAAAUGUUGCUGGAUAGGCUGGUUAUUGGAAAGAAAACAAUCGAACUUGGCUUCCGCUUGCUGAAGGACGCAAGUUUCUUAUGACUCUGUCCUUAUGACCCAGCUUGUUAAUAAUUGCAUUCUUUUUAGUUUCUUCUUAUCAUAUGAACUUGGGUACUGCAAGACUUUUUUAGUACCUCUUGUUGAGUGGAUUUAAGUGAUGUCUCUAACACUUACAGCUAGCUUCAUAACCCUUUCUGCAGCUCUUGCAUAUUCCAUUCUCUGGAAUAGAAACACACAUAAUGAUAUUAAUUAGGAUAUGGAUAGGAUACUGUAUUCUUUAUUGGUAACUCAUCAUGAGUAAACAGAAGGGUUUCCUGUCACAUCCUUUCACUCACGAAAGGCAUUAAGGGGGGGAGUUGUUCCACAGGGGGAGUUUCUUGUCAUGAAAGAAAUGGAAAAAAGCUUUAGACGCUGUUAUUUUCAUGUACCGCUCCAAACACAAAUGCAUGCAAAAGAGCAUUAAAAAAUUAACCUGGGGUCAUAAAUUAGUUUUUUUUUUUAACAAACGGCACGGCCAGGGUUGUCAACUUGUUAAAUAUAUGUUCAAAAUAAGUGAAUUGUGAUAUCUUACAUUAUCCAAGAUCACAUUCAAGUAGUACAGCACAUUAUAAGUAAGACGAACCUGUAGUGGUUUAAUUGAAUUCUUGAUAGUAGGGACAAUCCACUGAAAAAGAUAAAAUGUAUUUAUUUACAAAUUUUUGUUUUUUUCUUUUGUUAUCAUUACGUAAUCUUGAUUAUGACUCAUUAUUUAUUCGCUUCAUACCGUUGCAUCUUCAACUUGACGCCUUCCAGCAAACUAACAAGUUCUACUUUGUACGAGGGUUAAUUUCAACCAAUUGGUUGGUUAAGAAUGUCUUGAUCUUUAAUCAAUUUGUAUUUUUUUCAUAUUACAUUGUAAUUGUAGCUCUUCAAACCGCCUGUUAAUAAACGAUCUUCUGGCUGGCUCUCCUGCUAA